CUUGCUUUCCUGCCGGCGAGUGGCGAACGGGUGAGUAAUACAUCGGAACGUGCCCUGUAGUGGGGGAUAACUAGUCGAAAGAUUAGCUAAUACCGCAUACGACCUGAGGGUGAAAGUGGGGGACCGCAAGGCCUCAUGCUAUAGGAGCGGCCGAUGUCUGAUUAGCUAGUUGGUGGGGUAAAGGCCUACCAAGGCGACGAUCAGUAGCUGGUCUGAGAGGACGAUCAGCCACACUGGGACUGAGACACGGCCCAGACUCCUACGGGAGGCAGCAGUGGGGAAUUUUGGACAAUGGGCGAAAGCCUGAUCCAGCAAUGCCGCGUGUGUGAAGAAGGCCUUCGGGUUGUAAAGCACUUUUGUCCGGAAAGAAAUGGCUCUGGUUAAUACCCGGAGUCGAUGACGGUACCGGAAGAAUAAGGACCGGCUAACUACGUGCCAGCAGCCGCGGUAAUACGUAGGGUCCAAGCGUUAAUCGGAAUUACUGGGCGUAAAGCGUGCGCAGGCGGUUGUGCAAGACCGAUGUGAAAUCCCCGGGCUUAACCUGGGAAUUGCAUUGGUGACUGCACGGCUAGAGUGUGUCAGAGGGAGGUAGAAUUCCACGUGUAGCAGUGAAAUGCGUAGAGAUGUGGAGGAAUACCGAUGGCGAAGGCAGCCUCCUGGGAUAACACUGACGCUCAUGCACGAAAGCGUGGGGAGCAAACAGGAUUAGAUACCCUGGUAGUCCACGCCCUAAACGAUGUCAACUAGUUGUUGGGGAUUCAUUUCCUUAGUAACGUAGCUAACGCGUGAAGUUGACCGCCUGGGGAGUACGGUC
This 814-nucleotide ribosomal RNA is filed under the name Ralstonia pickettii. Its description in RNAcentral is "bacterial SSU rRNA". It matches the Rfam family "Bacterial small subunit ribosomal RNA", at positions 75 to 887 of the family's 1533-position model. The record is from RNAcentral. Lineage: Bacteria; Pseudomonadati; Pseudomonadota; Betaproteobacteria; Burkholderiales; Burkholderiaceae.